RNAcentral lists this ribosomal RNA (462 nucleotides) under uncultured Bacteroidota bacterium. RNAcentral describes it as "bacterial SSU rRNA". It matches the Rfam family "Bacterial small subunit ribosomal RNA", at positions 335 to 795 of the family's 1533-position model. The record is from RNAcentral. Lineage: Bacteria; Pseudomonadati; Bacteroidota.
ACUCCUACGGGAGGCAGCAAUAGGGAAUAUUGGUCAAUGGAUGGAAGUCUGAACCAGCCAUGCCGCGUGCAGGAAGACGGCCUUCUGGGUUGUAAACUGCUUUUAUCUGGGGAUAAAAAGGCCUUGCGAGGCAAACUGAAGGUACCAGAUGAAUAAGCCACGGCUAACUACGUGCCAGCAGCCGCGGUAAUACGUAGGUGGCGAGCGUUGUCCGGAUUCAUUGGGUUUAAAGGGUGCGUAGGCGGCUAAUUAAGUCAGUGCUGAAAUAUCCCGGCUUAACCGGGAGGGUGGCAUUGAUACUGACUAGCUUGAGUGCAGACGAGGCAGGCGGAAUUGACGGUGUAGCGGUGAAAUGCUUAGAUAUCGUCAAGAACACCGAUAGUGUAGACAGCUUGCUAGGGUGCAACUGACGCUGAGGCACGAAAGUGUGGGGAUCAAACAGGAUUAGAUACCCUGGUAGUC